UUUAACCCCAAGGAAGCUAAAACCAGAUUUUUGGAUGAUCCGCUAGAACCCUUGAAUAUGAUGAGACAAGGAUCCAAACGGCUGAAACGCCACAAGGUUGAUCAAUCCUUGAUAAGUUUAGGCAAUUCAAUGAAGAACAUAAGAGAAAGCUUCUCUCAAAUCUAUAAUUCAGAACAAACUCAUUAUUUUUUUCUCUUCAUGACCUCAAAUAUAAAUACCAGUCUUGGAACAACCCUCCAAGCAUGAAAAACACAAAGCAUUAGUUAACUACCUUGGAACACCCCUCCAAGCAUGGAAAACACAAAGUAGUAAUUAAUUAUCUUAGAACACCCCUC
Molecule: long non-coding RNA, 335 nt
Filed under: Phoenix dactylifera (date palm)
Lineage: Eukaryota; Viridiplantae; Streptophyta; Magnoliopsida; Arecales; Arecaceae
Description: long non-coding RNA (PDAC_LNC008300)
Source: RNAcentral